This 378-nucleotide ribosomal RNA is filed under the name Triticum aestivum (bread wheat). Its description in RNAcentral is "partial small subunit ribosomal RNA". The record is from RNAcentral. Lineage: Eukaryota; Viridiplantae; Streptophyta; Magnoliopsida; Poales; Poaceae.
AUGUCCAGGCACCCAUCCAGCACGGGAUUUGUGGCGGGGAAAAGGAGGACAAGGACGGCUUUGGCGCGAAGAGCUGGCUCGGAGCAGCCGAGCGCCGUCGCCGCGGAGGGUAGGCAGCGCCGCACAGCCGUGAGGGCCAGGGAGGAGUGCCCCGACGGGCCAAGAAGCUGCUGCUGCAAGCGCCGCGCGGGCCGGGAGGAGGUCCGCCGCAGAUCGAGGAGGAGCGCCGCCCGCGUGCCCUGGGAAGGAGGUCCGCCGCAGAUCGAGGAGGAGCGCCGCCGUAGAUCAGCCGCACCGGCCGACCUCCUUGCUCACGUCGCUCGGACCCGCCCGCCCCUCCCCAACGCCGGCCCUCUAGCUACCAGGCGAGUGAGGUGA